Molecule: non-coding RNA, 508 nt
Filed under: Amazona aestiva (blue-fronted amazon)
Lineage: Eukaryota; Metazoa; Chordata; Aves; Psittaciformes; Psittacidae
Description: Eukaryotic small subunit ribosomal RNA
Rfam family: Eukaryotic small subunit ribosomal RNA
Source: Rfam by way of RNAcentral
UUUCUGCAGUUGAAAAGCUCAUAGCUGAAUCUUGGGAUCGAGCUGGCAGUCUGCAGCAUGGUGAACCACUGCCUGUCAAAACCUCUGCCCCUCGGUGCCCCCUCGAUGCUGUUAGCUAAGUGCCCCAUGGGGCCCAAAGCAUUUACUUUGAGAAAAUUAGUCUUCAAAGCAGUCCUGCUGCCAGCAUACUGCAGCUAGGAAUAAUGGAAUAGGACUCUGGUUCUAUUUGCUGGUUUUCGGAAAUGGGGCCAUAAUUAAGAAGGAUGGCUGAGGGCAUUCAUAUUGUGCCACUAGAGGUGAAAUUCUUGGAAAAGUGCAAGAUGGCUUGGGAGAAAGCAUUUGCCAAGAAUGUUUUCCUUAAUCAAGAACAAAAGUCGGAGGUUCGAAGAUGAUCAGAUACCAUUGCAGUACCGACUACAAACAGCGCUGACUGGUAAUAUGGUGGUGUUAUUCCUAUGACCAGCCAGGAAGCUCUUCUAUGCCUGGAAAAAUCUUGGAGCAGAUUCUC